CCCUUAGAUGUCCUGGGCUGCACGCGCGCUACACUGAUGUGUCCAGUAAGCACCUAACCUCUUCCGAAAGGAACGGGUAACCUUUGCAAAGCACCUCGUGAUGGGGAUAGAUUAUUGCAAUUAUUAGUCUUGAACGAGGAAUUCCUAGUAAGCACAAGUCAUCAGCUUGUGUUGAUUACGUCCCUGCCCUUUGUACACACCGCCCGUCGCUCCUACCGAUUGAAUGUUCCGGUGAGCUCUUCGGACUGCGCGGUCUGCAGUUUCUGCGUUCCGUGCGGAAAGUUGCGCAAACCUUAACAUUUAGAGGAAGGAGAAGUCGUAACA
Molecule: ribosomal RNA, 324 nt
Filed under: uncultured eukaryote
Lineage: Eukaryota
Description: partial 18S ribosomal RNA
Rfam family: Eukaryotic small subunit ribosomal RNA
Source: RNAcentral